This 513-nucleotide ribosomal RNA is filed under the name uncultured Pseudomonadota bacterium. Its description in RNAcentral is "bacterial SSU rRNA". It matches the Rfam family "Bacterial small subunit ribosomal RNA", at positions 355 to 858 of the family's 1533-position model. The record is from RNAcentral. Lineage: Bacteria; Pseudomonadati; Pseudomonadota.
UGGGGGAUAUUGCGCAAUGGGCGAAGGCCUGACGCAGCGACGCCGCGUGGGUGAUGGAGGCCUUCGGGUCGUAAAGCCCUGUCGAGGGGAACGAAACGGUCUCGACCCAAUACGUCGAGGCCCUGACGGUACCCCUAAAGGAAGCACCGGCUAACUCCGUGCCAGCAGCCGCGGUAAUACGGAGGGUGCAAGCGUUGUUCGGAAUCACUGGGCGUAAAGGGCGUGUAGGCGGUCCGCUAAGUCUGAUGUGAAAGCCCGGGGGCUCACCCCCGGAAGGGCAUUGGAAACUGGCGGACUCGAGUCCCGGAGAGGAAGGUGGAAUUCCUGGUGUAGCGGUGAAAUGCGUAGAUAUCAGGAGGAAUACCGGUGGCGAAGGCGGCCUUCUGGACGGUGACUGACGCUGAGACGCGAAGCGUGGGGAGCAAACAGGAUUAGAUACCCUGGUAGUCCACGCUGUAAACGAUGAGCACUAGGUGUCGUGGGUAUUGACCCCCGCGGUGCCGACGCUAACGC